GACGGAGGGUGCAAGCGUUAUUCGGAAUUAUUGGGCGUAAAGCGCGUGUAGGCGGCUCAGCAAGUCAGGUGUGAAAGCCCUCGGCUUAACCGAGGAAGUGCGCCUGAAACUACUGAGCUUGAGUACCGGAGAGGGUGGUGGAAUUCCCGGUGUAGAGGUGAAAUUCGUAGAUAUCGGGAGGAACACCAGCGGCGAAGGCGACCACCUGGACGGCUACUGACGCUGAGACGCGAAAGCGUGGGGAGCAAGC
Molecule: ribosomal RNA, 250 nt
Filed under: uncultured bacterium
Lineage: Bacteria
Description: partial 16S ribosomal RNA
Rfam family: Bacterial small subunit ribosomal RNA
Source: RNAcentral